UCAGACGGCCGGAUGGCUGCUCCACGCGCAAGCGCGGAGAGGAAAGUCCGGGCUCCACGGAAACACGGUGCCGGGUAAUGCCCGGCGGGGGCGACCCCAGGGACAGUGCAACAGAAAGUAGACCGCCUGCGCGCUUCGGCCCGCGGGCAAGGGUGAAAGGGUGCGGUAAGAGCGCACCGCGGUAGCGGUAACGUUUACCGGCAAGGCAAACCCCACCAGGUGCAAUGCCAAAUAGGGACCCGCGCGGGAGGUUUUACCUCUUGCACCGGCUUCUCGUCGGUUGAGGUUCGGGUAGGCAGCUUGAGCAGAUGAGUAAUGGUCUGCCUAGAUGAAUGGUCACUAAUCAGGGCAACCUGAGAUAAACAAAACUCGGCUUACAGGCCCGCUUUCA
This 391-nucleotide RNase P RNA is filed under the name Alphaproteobacteria bacterium. Its description in RNAcentral is "RNase P RNA component class A". It matches the Rfam family "Bacterial RNase P class A". From Rfam's summary of the family: Ribonuclease P (RNase P) is a ubiquitous endoribonuclease, found in archaea, bacteria and eukarya as well as chloroplasts and mitochondria. Its best characterised activity is the generation of mature 5'-ends of tRNAs by cleaving the 5'-leader elements of precursor-tRNAs. The record is from RNAcentral. Lineage: Bacteria; Pseudomonadati; Pseudomonadota; Alphaproteobacteria.